GUAGGCGGCAAGCGUUGUCCGGAAUUAUUGGGCGUAAAGCGCGCGCAGGCGGUUCUUUAAGUCUGAUGUGAAAGCCCACGGCUCAACCGUGGAGGGUCAUUGGAAACUGGAGAACUUGAGUACAGAAGAGGAAAGCGGAAUUCCACGUGUAGCGGUGAAAUGCGUAGAGAUGUGGAGGAACACCAGUGGCGAAGGCGGCUUUCUGGUCUGUAACUGACGCUGAGGCGCGAAAGCGUGGGGAGCAAACAGGAUUAGAUACCCUGGUAGUCCACGCCGUAAACGAUGAGUGCUAAGUGUUAGGGGGUUUCCGCCCCCCUUAGUGCUGCAGCUAACGCAUUAAGCACUCCGCCUGGGAGUACGGCCGCAAGGCUG
This 372-nucleotide ribosomal RNA is filed under the name uncultured organism. Its description in RNAcentral is "partial 16S ribosomal RNA". It matches the Rfam family "Bacterial small subunit ribosomal RNA", at positions 527 to 896 of the family's 1533-position model. The record is from RNAcentral.